UACGGAGGAUCCGAGCGUUAUCCGGAUUUAUUGGGUUUAAAGGGUGCGUAGGCGGUUUGAUAAGUCAGAGGUGAAAUGUCGGGGCUCAACCCCGAAACUGCCUCUAAUACUGUUGGACUAGAGAAUAGUUGCGGUAGGCGGAAUGUAUGGUGUAGCGGUGAAAUGCUUAGAGAUCAUACAGAACACCGAUUGCGAAGGCAGCUUACCAAACUAUAUCUGACGUUGAGGCACGAAAGCGUGGGUAGCAAACAGG
RNAcentral lists this ribosomal RNA (253 nucleotides) under uncultured bacterium. RNAcentral's name for it is "partial 16S ribosomal RNA". It matches the Rfam family "Bacterial small subunit ribosomal RNA", at positions 524 to 776 of the family's 1533-position model. The record is from RNAcentral.